Homo sapiens (human) is the source of this 2238-nucleotide long non-coding RNA. Ensembl annotates it as USP2 antisense RNA 1. Its record names the gene USP2-AS1. The record is from Ensembl. Lineage: Eukaryota; Metazoa; Chordata; Mammalia; Primates; Hominidae.
CCCCGGCGCCGGCACGCGGACCCGAACGAGGCGACAAGACAGGAGUGUAGUGGUGUGAUCACAGCUCACUGCAGCCUCCACCUCCUGGGCUCAAGUGAUCCUCCCAUCUCAGCCCACCAAGCAGCUGGGAUCACAGGCCAAGUUCCCACCUGGUGGGAAGCACUGUGCAGGUUCGUGGGGAUGCAGCCCUGCACAGCCCAGACUGGACUCCUUCCCCAUGGAACUCACAACACACGGGAGAGGCAGAGAGAUCCAAGCGCACAGAAAAACACAAGAAGAUUCAGCCCUGUCAUCUUGUGCAAAAGUCACACAGGCUAGAGUGCAGUGGCAUGAUCUCAGCUCCCCACAACCUCUGCCUCCGAUGUUCAAGCGAUUCUCCUGUCUCAGCCUCCUGAGUAGCUGGAAUUACAGGUGCCCACCACCACGCGCGGCUAAUAUUUGUGUUUUUAGUAGAAAUGGGGUUUCACCAUGUUGGCCAGGCCAGCCUCGAACUCCUGACCUCGGGUGAUCAGCCUGCCUUGGCCUCCCAAAGUGCUGGCGUUACAGGCAUGAUCAUGGCUCAUUUCUUUUUAGCACUGAAUGAUAUUCCAUUGUCAGGAUGUACCACAGUUUGUUUAUCCAUUCACCUACUGAAGGACAUUUUGGUUGCUUCUAAGUUUUACCAGUUAUGAAUGAAGCUGCUAUAAACAUCUGUGUACAGAUUUUUUUGUGGACAUAAGUUUUCACCUCCUUUGGGUAAAUACCAAAGAGUGGGCUUGCUGGAUUUUACGAUAAGAGUAUGUUUAAUUUGUAAGAAACCACCUAACUGUCUUCCACAGUGACUGUUCUAUUUUUGCCUCCCCACCAGCAAUGAAUGAGAGCUCUCAUUACUCCCUGCUUUCACCAGCAUUUUGUGGUGUCCGUGUUUUGGAUUUGGUCAUUCUAAUAGGUGUGUAAUGAUAUGUCAUUAUUGUUUUAAUUUGCAACUUCCUCAUGACAUCUGAUGCUAAGCAUCUUUCAAUAUGCUUAUUUGCCAUCUGUGUAUCUUCUUUGCUGAGGUGUCUAGAUCUUUUGCCUAUUUUUUAAUCGGGUUGUUUUCUUAUUGUUGUGUUUUUUUGGAAUUCUUUGUAUAUUUUGGAUAGUAGUCCUUUAUCAGAUAUGUCUUUUGCAAAUAUUUUCUCCCAGUCUGUGUCUUGUCUUCUCAUUCUCUUGACAGUGUCUUUUGCAGAGCAGUUUUUUUUUUUUCCUUUCUGGAGAUGGGGGUCUCCCUAUAUCUCCCAGGCUGGUCUCAAACUUCUGGGCUCAAGCGAGCCUCCUACCUCUCUGGAGUAACUGGGACAAUGGAUGUGUCCUACUUCCAGCUUAGAAGUUUUUAAAUAUAUAUAUUUUUUGAGAUGGAGUCUCACUCUGUCACCCAGGCUGGAGUACAGUGGUGUGAUCUCGGCUCACUGCAACCUGUGCCUCCUGGGUUCAAAUGAUUCUUGUGCCUCAGCCUCCUGAAUAAGUGGGAUUACAGGCAUGCAUCACUAUGCUCGGCUAAUUUUUGUAUUUUUAGUAGAGAUGAGGUUUCACCAGGCUGGUCUCGAACUCCUGACCUCAAGGGAUCCACCCACCUAGGCCUCCCAAAGUGCUGGGAUUACAGGCAUCAGCCACUGUGCCCAGCCUAGAAGUUUUCAGUGUUAAUGUACCCCUGAUUAUUAAUUAUUUCUUUCAUGGGUUGUGGCUUUGGUGUUAUAUCUAUAAAGUCAUCACCAAAUUCAAGGUCAUCUAAAUUUUCUCCUAUGUUAUCUUCUAGGAGUUUUAUAGUUUCUGUGAUCCAUUUUGAGUUAAUUUUCAUGAAGGCUAUUUUUGUGAAUGUGUCUAGAUUUUUUUUUUUUGGCAUGGGAGUGUCCAGUUGUUCUAGCACUAUUUGUUGAAAAGGCUAAAUUGUCUCCAUUAUAUUGCCUUUCCUCCUUUAUCAACAAUCAGUUAACUACAUUUAUGUGGGUCUAUGUCCUGCUCACUAUUCUAUUCUGUUGAUCUAGUUACCUCUUCUUUUACCAAUACCACACUGUCUUAAUUACUGUAGGUUUAUAGUAAGUUUCGAGGUAAGAUUGUGUCAGUUCUCUGAUUUUGUUUUUCUCCUUCAAUAUCAUGUUGGCUAUUCUGGGUCUUUUGCCUCUCCAUAUAAACUCUAGAAUCAGUUUGUCAAUCUCCACAAAAUAACUUACUUGGAUUUUAACUGGGUUGCAGUGAACUAUAGAUCAAGUUGGGAAGAAU